RNAcentral lists this transfer RNA (73 nucleotides) under Fibrobacterota bacterium. RNAcentral's name for it is "Fibrobacteres bacterium tRNA-Asn". It matches the Rfam family "tRNA". Rfam says of the family: Transfer RNA (tRNA) molecules are approximately 80 nucleotides in length. Lineage: Bacteria; Pseudomonadati; Fibrobacterota. The record is from RNAcentral.
UGGCUGAUAGCUCAGUUGGUAGAGCAGGCGGCUGUUAACCGCCCGGUCGCAGGUUCGAGUCCUGCUCAGCCAG